This 1407-nucleotide long non-coding RNA is filed under the name Ursus maritimus (polar bear). RNAcentral's name for it is "lncRNA (ENSUMAG00000012113.1)". The record is from RNAcentral. Lineage: Eukaryota; Metazoa; Chordata; Mammalia; Carnivora; Ursidae.
GUUAGCUUUACGGCUCAGAAUCAGGUACAAAGUCUCUACUGGAUCCCAGGUGGGUAAGCUGGUCUCAGGUGGUGACUCCAUUCUGGCACCCCGAUCUUCCUACACCUUUGAAUGCUUUUCUCUCCAGUACACUAAGACAGUUCUGACAUUUCCACUUCAUUAGGCCACCUCUGGGUUCAUCAUUCAGCCAACUUGUCAAGAAAACGGUUGGAGCCAUUCCUGGCCCCUCAACAAAAACACUGAGCCAGUGAGCCAGUCUCAGUAGAUCCAGCAUGAGUCAGCUUUGUAUUCUUCCCGUCUCGCUCCCUACGUUAGGAUGCGUUGCCAUCUUACCCUCCAGGUUGCUGUUGAUAUGAAUCGGUUAUCACAGAACUCUUUUGGUGUGUACGACACCCCAUCACAUAUUUGGGACUUGUGGUCAAGAAGGAAGGAGAAAUGGCGAAAGCAGAUCUUACAAGGAUUAUCAGGCACUCACCCAACCAAUGAGGACCAUACGAUGAUGUGGUCAGUCACUGGACCGCCACAGUUUGAAUUGGUUGUCGCUUCUUUACUGACCUGUGCUGGGCAGAGCAGUGAAUUGAAGACGAAGAAGUUGCAUCUGGAGUGUCUCUGAUCAUAGCCGGGGGGCAUGGGAGGAGCCUACCCAAGACUGACGGGUGUUCUCUGGGCUUUCCUUGUGCUGAGCUUGUAUCGGGGUUGAACCCCAAAAGAAGGGGAUGGUCUGCGAAUGGCCACAGACCACGUCUAAGUAGUGACAGGGCACAAAUGCCGCGCUGCUUACUAAUGACCCGCAGGUGAACAGCGGGAUUGAGAUCACUUCCUGCCGCCAGUGUCUGGGGAAGGGACGGUAUUUCCAAGUCUGCUCUAAGAAGAUAAGACUUUCACACAGGUUGAAGGAGCAGACUUUUCCUUGACAGGAAUUUUGCAAGCAGCUGAGACACAGAGCAGGCCCUCUGCUGCAGGAUCGGGUGACUCCAGGCCUUAGAGCCUCUGUUUAGGGAAAGGCAAAACGCCCGAUGUCAAAAUGAAAAAAAAGAACCCAAAUAGAAAGUCUCAAACUAAUAUUUAAACUUUCUGAUAUUCAGCAUCUUUGUAACGUGACUGAAAUUUCUCUGCUUUAAUAUUCUCAAAAUAUGUCUUUAUUAUAUCCUUCUACAAAACCACAGACAAAAUCCUUCCUGACCUACUGACUGAUGUGUCUCCUGUCCCCGGCAAAUUUCUCCAAAAACACCGACUACGUGCCUUGUUUCCAUUCCCUUACUGUGCUCCGCCUUGUCAAGGCACUUUGGCCUGGCUUCUGCCCCAGCACUCCACGGACAGAGCCUACGGUCGGCUUGGCCCUCGUGCCAGCAGAUCAGAUGACAACAGCCAUGCAGCCUCUUGGACUACUCGGGAACUUCUGGUGAC